GGCGAACGGGUGAGUAACACGUGGGUGAUCUGCCCUGCACUUCGGGAUAAGCCUGGGAAACUGGGUCUAAUACCGGAUAGGACGAUGGUUUGGAUGCCAUUGUGGAAAGUUUUUCGGUGUGGGAUGAGCUCGCGGCCUAUCAGCUUGUUGGUGGGGUAAUGGCCUACCAAGGCGUCGACGGGUAGCCGGCCUGAGAGGGUGUACGGCCACAUUGGGACUGAGAUACGGACCAG
Molecule: ribosomal RNA, 233 nt
Filed under: uncultured Actinomycetales bacterium
Lineage: Bacteria; Bacillati; Actinomycetota; Actinomycetes; Actinomycetales
Description: partial 16S ribosomal RNA
Rfam family: Bacterial small subunit ribosomal RNA
Source: RNAcentral